Molecule: ribosomal RNA, 494 nt
Filed under: uncultured bacterium
Lineage: Bacteria
Description: partial 16S ribosomal RNA
Rfam family: Bacterial small subunit ribosomal RNA
Source: RNAcentral
GACGAACGCUGGCGGCGCGCUUAACACAUGCAAGUCGAACGGAAAGGCCUGCUUUCCCUUGUGGAUUGCGGGUACUCGAGUGGCGAACGGGUGAGUAACACGUGAGUGAUCUGCCCCCAACUUGGGUAUAAGCCUGGGAAACUGGGUCUAAUUCCCGAUAGGACUGCAGGGUGGUGCCUGUGGUGGAAAACGAUUUUCUAGUGGUUGGGGAUGAGCUCGCGGCCUAUCAGCUUGUUGGUGGGGUAAUGGCCUACCAAGGCGGCGACGGGUAGCCGGCCUGAGAGGGUGGACGGCCACAUUGGGACUGAGAUACGGCCCAGACGCCGACGGGAGGCAGCAGUGGGGAAUAUUGCACAAUGGGCGGAAGCCUGAUGCAGCGACGCCGCGUGGGGGAUGACGGCCUUCGGGUGGUAAACUCCUUUCGACCGCGAGGAAGCCACCUGGUUGGAAGGGUGGUGACGGUAGUGGUAGAAGAAGCACCGGCUAACUACGUG